Molecule: ribosomal RNA, 774 nt
Filed under: uncultured Neocallimastigales
Lineage: Eukaryota; Fungi; Neocallimastigomycota; Neocallimastigomycetes; Neocallimastigales
Description: partial large subunit ribosomal RNA
Rfam family: Eukaryotic large subunit ribosomal RNA
Source: RNAcentral
AUAUCAGUCAUGCAUAGCAUAUCAAUAAGCGGAGGAAAAGAAACUAACAAGGAUUCCCUUAGUAACGGCGAGUGAAGCGGGAAGAGCUCAAAUUUGAAAUCUUCAAGGUUUUACCUUGACGAAUUGUAGUUUAAAGAAGUGUUUUCUGUUGAAGUUUUGGUAAAAGUUCUUUGGAAUAGGACAUCAUAGAGGGUGAGAAUCCCGUAUUUGACCAUUACUUUCAGCUUUGUGAUACACCUUCAAAGAGUCGGAUUGUUUGGGAAUGCAGUCCAAAAUGGGUGGUAAAUUUCAUCUAAAGCUAAAUAUUGGCGAGAGACCGAUAGCGAACAAGUACCGUGAGGGAAAGAUGAAAAGAACUUUGAAAAGAGAGUUAAACAGUACGUGAAAUUGUCAAAAGGGAAGCGUUUGACACCAGUGUUGUUUUCUCGAAAAUCAAUUAAAAAGAGUUGGAUUUUGUGUUGUAUUGACUUUAUCGGCUUUCUUCACUCUUUUCCAGCUUUUUUUAAUGCACUUUUCGUUUAACAAGUCAACAUCAGUUUCUUUUGUUGUAAAAAGGUCAUUGGAAGGUGGCUUUCUCUUCGGAGAAAGUGUUUAUAGCCUUUGACUCAUGCAAUCGGAGAGACUGAGGUCUGCAGCGUAGAUCCUUCGGGGUUAGAUACAUUUGUGCUAAGUUAUAGCUUUUCAUAGACAACUUGUUGACUAUGUUUAGUCUUGUAGCUUACUCGCUUAUGCUAUUUUACCUACGCUUAGGAUGUUGAACUCUAUCACACACAG